This 292-nucleotide ribosomal RNA is filed under the name uncultured prokaryote. RNAcentral's name for it is "partial 16S ribosomal RNA". It matches the Rfam family "Bacterial small subunit ribosomal RNA", at positions 505 to 796 of the family's 1533-position model. The record is from RNAcentral.
GUGUCAGCCGCCGCGGUAAUACGGAGGGGGUUAGCGUUGUUCGGAAUUACUGGGCGUAAAGCGCGCGUAGGCGGAUCAGAAAGUUGGGGGUGAAAUCCCGGGGCUCAACCUCGGAACUGCCUCCAAAACUCCUGGUCUUGGGUUCGAGAGAGGUGAGUGGAAUUCCGAGUGUAGAGGUGAAAUUCGUAGAUAUUCGGAGGAACACCAGUGGCGAAGGCGGCUCACUGGCUCGAUACUGACGCUGAGGUGCGAAAGUGUGGGGAGCAAACAGGAUUAGAAACCCGGGUAGUCC